UACGUAGGGUGCAAGCGUUGUCCGGAAUUAUUGGGCGUAAAGAGCUCGUAGGCGGUUCGUCACGUCGGCUGUGAAAUCCCGAGGCUCAACCUCGGGUCUGCAGUCGAUACGGGCGGACUGGAGUACUGCAGGGGAGACUGGAAUUCCUGGUGUAGCGGUGAAAUGCGCAGAUAUCAGGAGGAACACCGGUGGCGAAGGCGGGUCUCUGGGCAGUAACUGACGCUGAGGAGCGAAAGCGUGGGGGAGCGAACAGG
Molecule: ribosomal RNA, 254 nt
Filed under: uncultured bacterium
Lineage: Bacteria
Description: partial 16S ribosomal RNA
Rfam family: Bacterial small subunit ribosomal RNA
Source: RNAcentral